UAGUCCACGCCGUAAACGAUGGACACUAGUUGUUGGGGAGCAAUUCUCAGUGACCAAGCUAACGUGAUAAGUGUCCCACCUGGGGAGUACGAUCGCAAGGUUGAAACUCAAAGGAAUUGACGGGGGUCCGCGCAAGCGGUGGAGCAUGUGGUUUAAUUCGAUGAUACGCGAGGAACCUUACCAGGGCUUAAAUGUAGGUUGCAUGAGUUGGAAACAUCUCUUUCUUCGGACUACUUACAAGGUGCUGCAUGGUUGUCGUCAGCUCGUGCCGUGAGGUGUCAGGUUAAGUCCUAUAACGAGCGCAACCCUUAUCGUUAGUUGCUAGCAGGUAAAGCUGAGGACUCUAGCGAGACUGCCGGUGUAAACCGUGAGGAAGGUGAGGACGACGUCAAAUCAUCACGGCCCUUAUGUCCUGGGCUACACACGUGCUACAAUGGUAUGGACAGCGAGCAGCCACUACGCGAGUAGGCGCUAAUCUUGAAACCAUAUUUCAGUUCGGAUCGG
This 504-nucleotide ribosomal RNA is filed under the name uncultured bacterium. RNAcentral's name for it is "bacterial SSU rRNA". It matches the Rfam family "Bacterial small subunit ribosomal RNA", at positions 791 to 1301 of the family's 1533-position model. The record is from RNAcentral.